This 340-nucleotide unclassified non-coding RNA is filed under the name soil metagenome. RNAcentral describes it as "partial contains 5.8S ribosomal RNA, internal transcribed spacer 2, and large subunit ribosomal RNA". The stretch from base 1 to 120 matches the Rfam family "5.8S ribosomal RNA", at positions 35 to 154 of the family's 154-position model. The record is from RNAcentral.
GAUGAAGAACGCAGCGAAAUGCGAUAAGUAAUGUGAAUUGCAGAAUUCAGUGAAUCAUCGAAUCUUUGAACGCACAUUGCGCCCGCCAGUAUUCUGGCGGGCAUGCCUGUUCGAGCGUCAUUUCAACCAUCAAGCCCCCGGCUUGUGUUGGGGACCUGCGGCUGCCGCAGGCCCUGAAAUGCAGUGGCGGGCUCGCUGUCACUCCGAGCGUAGUAAUUCUGUUUCUCGCUUAGGGCGUUGGGCGGCGCUCCAGCCGUUAAAGUACCCAUCUUUAACACAAGGUUGACCUCGGAUCAGGUAGGAAUACCCGCUGAACUUAAGCAUAUCAAUAAGCGGAGGA